UUUUUGUGGAGGGUUUGAUUCUGGCUCAGGAUGAACGCUGGCGGCGUGCUUAACACAUGCAAGUCGAACGGGAUCCGCCAAGCUUGCUUGGCGGUGAGAGUGGCGAACGGGUGAGUAAUGCGUGACCAACCUGCCCCGUGCUUCGGAAUAGCUCCUGGAAACGGGUGGUAAUGCCGGAUGCUCCGCACUGUCGCAUGAUGGUGCGGGAAAGGGUUUACCGGCAUGGGAUGGGGUCGCGUCCUAUCAGCUUGUUGGCGGGGUGAUGGCCUGCCAAGGCUUCGACGGGUAGCCGGCCUGAGAGGGCGACCGGCCACAUUGGGACUGAGAUACGGCCCAGACUCCUACGGGAGGCAGCAGUGGGGAAUAUUGCACAAUGGGCGAAAGCCUGAUGCAGCGACGCCGCGUGCGGGAUGACGGCCUUCGGGUUGUAAACCGCUUUUGAUUGGGAGCAAGCGAGAGUGAGUGUACCUUUCGAAUAAGCACCGGCUAACUACGUGCCAGCAGCCGCGGUAAUACGUAGGGUGCAAGCGUUAUCCGGAUUUAUUGGGCGUAAAGAGCUCGUAGGCGGUUCGUCGCGUCUGGUGUGAAA
Molecule: ribosomal RNA, 589 nt
Filed under: Bifidobacterium sp. wkB344
Lineage: Bacteria; Bacillati; Actinomycetota; Actinomycetes; Bifidobacteriales; Bifidobacteriaceae
Description: bacterial SSU rRNA
Rfam family: Bacterial small subunit ribosomal RNA
Source: RNAcentral